AGAAGCCCAGGAAGCCAGCAGCUGUGGCCUCUCCAGGGGGUGGCUCAGGUCAGUGGGUUGCCAUGGCAACGCCACAGGCCCUGCCCCAGGGGCUGCUGGGUUCCAGGAAGCGGCCCUGCCCUGCCUCUGCUUUCAUUCCUUCCCUCAUUUACCAAAUAUUGAUUUAGCACCUACUGUUUGCCAGGCUCUGAGCAGCUAGUGAUGAACAUGGCAGACAAGGUCCCUGCUCUCAGAGAGCUUAUAUUCUGUGGCAGAGACAUUGACAAAUUAGCAAGAAGACAGCAGAAACUGGAGUCUCAAUCACAACAGGACACAGGUGAGCCUGAGAUGACACUAAUAUCAUUCUCCUGGAAUAUGACCUCCCAACACAAGCACCAUCACCUUCAUCAUCAUCAUCAUCAUCAUCACCAUCAUCAUCAUCACAGUGACGACUUGCCCAAGAUCACACAGUUGUUAAGCUGCUGAGCAGGGAUUUGAAUCUGACUCGAACCUAACUACUCACCUGUGGUUAUAUACUCGUAAUUAUAUAUACAUUAAAGUCUCA
Symphalangus syndactylus (siamang) is the source of this 544-nucleotide long non-coding RNA. RefSeq lists it as uncharacterized. Lineage: Eukaryota; Metazoa; Chordata; Mammalia; Primates; Hylobatidae. The record is from RefSeq and is a predicted model, not a curated record.